Molecule: long non-coding RNA, 1557 nt
Filed under: Hordeum vulgare
Lineage: Eukaryota; Viridiplantae; Streptophyta; Magnoliopsida; Poales; Poaceae
Description: long non-coding RNA (HVUL_LNC011672)
Source: RNAcentral
UUUCUCCCCACGUGGAAACAUAUUCUCUCUCUCCCCAUGGAAGCACAUGUUCCUUUAUCUCUGUGUUUUCUCUCUUCCACGUAUCUUCUUCUCUCCAUACUCUCUCUUUUUUCGGAUCGAAAAGAAAACCAUCAUCUCUUUGCAACCCGAAGGAAACGAGUUUGGUGCCAUGGAUCUAAUUGAUCAAGAUCUUACUGCCUCAAAUAUGAGUUGCUCAUCUAGAUCGGUCAUACUCUCCGAUCUGACACAAAUCUCGCUGAUCUCACGUAACCAUGCUCUCAUCUUCAAAGUCAAAUCAUGGGCUGCUUUGAUCUAGAACAUCUGACAGACUAGGAGUAAUACUUACAUGUUUUCCAUACAUGGAUGCAUUGGUGUGAUCCUCCUGUAGGUUCUAAAUCGUCGAAUCACACCCAGAUCUGAAGUGGUGUAUCCCUUUGUUGGAGGCCUCUAAUCUAAUCUCCUCAUCCAAGUCUAACACGUCCCGCUCUCCGGGAUUUCUUUGGUUGAUGAAGAAGAAGGGUUCCAAAUUCUGACCCUGCUGUACUGGUGGCACAGUCCGUCUUCGCCAAUGCAACAAGCGGAGUUCGUUCCAGCGAUCACACAUCUAUGGAAGCUAAUUCAACUACUUUUUGGACUGAGCAGAUGGGGAAAAACAGGCAAGUACAUAGCAGCUAGCUGAUUGAUUCAUGUAUAGUACAUGCACGUACAUAUAUCGUUAUUUGCCUUCGGCCAUAGAUACAUCCUGCUUAUGUAUUUUGGAUUGUAUUAUUGCAGGUUGACUAAAUAGUUUUUGACAAGCUAGCUUUAUACUUGGAGAUCGAUUCAGGCAACAUCGCAGCAGGGAGUAGAUGUAUUCAGUUUUUGCAGAUCCCUUUCACUCCUCGGCUGCAGGCACACACAGGUGAGAACGCAUACACAUGCACAUGCAGAACCAUGUCCCUGUUCUUUAUUUUAUGGCAAGUCAUCAGAUUGAAAGAGGAAAUAUCCAUAUUAUGGGCGUCGUACAUGGGGUCGUCGUUGCCAGAGACUAUCAACCCGUUGGGCGGGUGUCAAGGUCAGGUUCAAAGUAAUCAAGAAAAGAAGCCUUAUGGGUGCCGUCAAGGGCUUCAUCGAUGCAUUAUCUUGCAUGUGAUUCUCCACUAAUAUCUCCUCUUUAAUUAACAACCCUAUGUGUUGAUAACGUUUCUUUUUGAACCUAUGGAGGCCCGGGCAUGCAGAUCGGUUCGUCCUUAGGUCAUCUAUCAAAUGAGUGUCAGGAAAUAGUUCUGAUAUUUGUUCCAGUUUCAUAGAUCAUGAGGGAAAAUUUCAAAAACAAAGGAUGCAGUUAGAGGAGCAAUAGAAAUCUCAUGGUGUGGAGAGGAAUCGUUGUGACGGGAGCACCAGAUCAAGGAAUUUCUCACGAAUGUGUCUAGGCGAAGACAUAUCCUUGGUGCAGCGGGAAUAAUCCAGCUGUUAUGGUCCUAUCUAUUUUAUAUGGUACAAACUUUUCUCUUCAAUUUCCUACUGUGUGCAUUAUGCACUCAUGAGUUGUUCAACGCAUUCCUAUGAUUCUUAAAG